UACGGAGGAUCCAAGCGUUAUCCGGAUUUAUUGGGUUUAAAGGGUGCGUAGGCGGAUAAAUAAGUCAGUGGUGAAAGCUAGCAGCUUAACUGUUAAAUUGCCAUUGAUACUGUUUAUCUUGAGUGUAUUUGGAGCAGGCGGAAUGUGUUGUGUAGCGGUGAAAUGCUUAGAUAUAACACAGAACACCAAUCGCGAAAGCAGCUUGCUAAGAUACAACUGACGCUGAGGCACGAAAGCUUGGGGAGCAAACAGG
Molecule: ribosomal RNA, 253 nt
Filed under: uncultured bacterium
Lineage: Bacteria
Description: partial 16S ribosomal RNA
Rfam family: Bacterial small subunit ribosomal RNA
Source: RNAcentral